RNAcentral lists this long non-coding RNA (1189 nucleotides) under Durio zibethinus. RNAcentral describes it as "long non-coding RNA (DZIB_LNC001891)". The record is from RNAcentral. Lineage: Eukaryota; Viridiplantae; Streptophyta; Magnoliopsida; Malvales; Malvaceae.
UUUUCUUGAGUUAGCCACGGAAGGAUAUUUUUUAGUUCUUGGUGUAGACAUCCUAUUUUGUUGGAAAAUCAUUUUGUCUAAAAUUUUUUUCGAAAUUGAAACCAGACUUCAACCGUAAAUUGAAUCCAAUUGAAAAAAUAUCUAUUUUUUAACUUAAUUUUGAUUUAAUUUUAUUUUUGUCUAAAAAAAAGAAAUAUUUUAAUGAAAUUUGGAAAAUGAUGUUGAGAUAUUUGUUGAUAGAUUUUUGGAAUUCAAUUCUAGAAUUAAUUCAUGUUAAAAUUAAAUCAAAUAAAAUCAUAUAUUUAAGGAAAAUUGAUUUAGCAUUAAUUUCUAUAUAAAUCUAAAGGCAAAGCAGAGAAGAAAGUGGGGCAAAUAAGCAGAAUUGAAGAAGCAAUCGAGAGCAAUUCAACUCAAGGAGAUUUUUGGCAUUCAAGCUAAAUUCUCUAGAGCAGUGACAAUUCUACAGGCAGCAAUUGAGAGAGAGCCUGCAAUCGAGCAAUUAGAAAAAAGCAGAGAAACAAUUGUGGAAUCAAUUUGGUAGAACAAGGGAUCAUUCAGCAACAAAUUUUUUUUUUGGCAACAAGCUUUCAAGCAAUUCGGCAACACAAUGAUUCAACACCUAUUCAGCCGUGCAAAUUAGCGGGAGUAUCAAAUAGCCACAACAAACCGAAAUAGACAAAUCCCAUUCACCCCCAAGUGCAUUAAUCAAAUUCAACAAGAAGAAAAUCCAGAACCCAGCCAACCUACAAAUAAAAGCAAGAUCAGACAACCUCAAAUAGAGGCAGAAAACGAAAGCAACAAGCAAUUGGAUAACCAUACACGGAACAUCAGCAAUUACGUAGCAAAAAGGAAAGUUCCAAAAGGUUCUUGGUUGAGGUUUGAGGCAAAAAAUAGAAAAGGUGACAGGAAGUGGAGAACAAUGGCAAAUGGCUGUGGCAGUAAGCAGGAUCUCGCUGGUUGUUGGGUUGUUUUGCGAAUGUUCUAAUUUUUAGGUUUCUUGAGAAAAUUUAAAGAGGGGAUUACAAGGAGUUUAAAAAAUGAUUCUGUUUUGGACUUUCAUCGCUGUUAAGUGACGACGAACAGUGGAAGAGGUGGCUGUUUUCAAUCGGGACUUGGGCUGGGUAGGUUCUCUGGUUAGUAGAGAAAGAAGAAAGAGAGCAAGAGCUUGAUAUCAGUUUUGGGGUUUGAC